UAUUCUACAUCUUGUACAUGAGUGGGUUUUGGAAGUAAGCAUAGCAUAAUUCCAUAAGACUAGUUCAUGAGUAAUCCAACAUUGUUCACAAGACACAUUAUCAACAUGGAUGACAUUGAAUCAUAGAGGCCCAUCAUGAAUCCUUCACUUAGUCACAAUUUAGCUAUAAUACAUGAUUUCUAGUCUCUUAGGUAUUUUAUCAACCACCUUAUAUACAAUCUUUAAGGCAUAGGUGUAUUCACAAACUUACACCACUUUAAUCCACCCCAAUUCAUAGGUUCCAACUAAUGAUCACAAUCUUCAUGGAAGUUCAUCAAAUUCCCACUCUAUAACAUAAACCACAAACAACAACAUGAAUAAAACCAUAUCACCACAAAACAUUCAUGAUUUUGUUAUCAAAGAUUGAUUCUUGAACUCCACGAACGAAAGGGAUCCGUGGAUGAACACUACGCAUACCUUAAUGGCGAUGAAAUUGUUGAAUGAUUGGACCUUCAAGCUUGAUUAUGCAACCCUAGUAGUUUUUCUCCUUUUUGUGCUCUUGGAUAAUGAACUUAAGAUGUUAAUAGGGUUGUAAUGUGAUUAGAAGCUAUAAAUUUUAUGAGUUUAAGUAUUGGGACGUGUAAGGAGUGUUAAAAGACUUAAUUAUCCUCAAAAUAACUUAAAAACUAAGUAUUUUUUGUGGCUGAAAUCAUAAGUGUGCGUCGCACACCUCAUCACACAUGCUAAGGUGUGCGCCGCACAUCCUAUCACAUAAGCUAAGGUGUGCGUUGUACAUGCUAUCACACACUUGAGGGUGUGCGCCACACAACCCGUCGCACACUUGUUCCAGUAGCCAUGUGCGAUUGUUUAUGCAUCGCACUCCCACUUUGCAGGGCCAUAACUUCUUGAUCGGAUGUUAGAUUUUUAUAAAAUUGGAAUCGUUGGAAAGAUGAUUCGAUUCUCUACAAUUUGGUGGGUAUAAAUCUGCCAAAAUGUCACAUAUAAAUCAAGUUAUCCUCGUUCAAAGAUCACUCUUGUGGAAACACACACUAAAGCUUGAUGGAUCCAAAAGCUAUUAGCUUUCCUUACUCUGAGUGACUCGCAUGAGCAUGCUUAACACAUCAUAAGCUAUCUUAUCUCUAGGAUUCUAAUUGUAAAUCAUGUACUCAAAUAUGAAUCAUUGGAUAUAAGGUUUCAUACGUCAGAGAACUGAUUUAUUUCCUCUCUUGGAAAUAUAUGGGGUAUUACAUAUAAGUCGGAGGAACCCAGACAGAUAGCUCAUUUCGAGUAUACUCUAAAAGGGAAUUGGAUUAAAAUUCUUAAAUCGGGAUAUGGUGGUCGACCACAAUGUUAGGAAGUCCGAAGAUGUUGGUGAGAGCCUUAGAAAGAGUUAUCUUUUCUGCUUAACAACCUGCCCACCCUAGAAUUAGCUUAGUCAGAGGUAGGGUCUAGCGGUUGGAAGAGCACCGCAUGUCGCAUGGUGUUCAGUACUCUCCUGAUGGCCCUUAAAAAUUUAGAAGACCAAAUGCCAUCCAUGCUCAGUCAUAAUCUUAACCGCAUCAGGUCUCCAAGGUGAACAAGCUCUGGUCGAUGGAAUAUUGUAGGCAAGGGAAGUCAGCAAAAUGGAUCCGCAACUUCGGGAAAAGGAUUGGCUCUAAGGGCUGUACACGGGGGUUUCAGCCCUAAACCCAUCGGAUGUCGGUGGACUGCUUGAGCAGCUUCUGUGGCGAGAUCGGGUCAUCACGUGUCGUCCAGGGAACAGACUGGGAACGGUUCUUUUGAGGGCCUUCCCUACACGUUGAAUAUCCCACUCAAAACUGGUACGGACAAGGGGAAUUCGACUGUUUAAUUAAAAAAAAGAAUUGCAAUGGCCCCAAUAUAUAUUCAUGCAAUGUGAGUUUUUCCUAGUGUUCUAAAUGUCAAAGUGAAGAAAUGCAACCAAGCGCGGUAAACAGUAAGAGUAACUAUGAAUCUCUUAAGGUAGCCAAAUUCCUUGUCAUCUAAUUAGUCACGUACAUGAAUGGAUUAAUGAGAUUCCCACUAUCCCUAUCUACUAUCCAGCAAAACCACAGCAAAGGGAAUGGUCUUAGCUAAAUCAAUGGGGAAAAAAGACCUUUUUGAACUUCACUCUAGUUCGACUUUGUGAAAUGACUUGAGAGGUAUAGUAUAAGUGGGAUACAAAAGGCAAAAUUUAAAUACCAUUACUUUUAACGUUAUUUUACUUAUUUUGUGAAUUGGAAGUGGGGCACUGCCCUUCUUUUUAAACCCAAGGCUAGCUCUGCAGGUCGAUCCGGGUGGAAGACAUUGUCAAGUGAGGUGUUUGGUUGGGGCGGCACAUCUUCUAAAAGAUAACGUAGGUGUCCUAAGAUCUGCUCAACGAGAACAUAAAUAUCGUAUGGAACAGAAGGGUAAAAACUUAUUUGAUUCUGAUUUAUAGUAUGAAUACAAACUGUAAAAGCGUGGCCUAACAAUUCUUUAGACCUUCAGAAUUCGAAGCAAGAGGUGUCAAAAAAAUUACCACCAGGAUAACUGGCUUAUGACAGUCAAGUGCUAAUAGUGACGUUGCUUUUUGAUCCUUCGAUGUUGGCUCUUUCUAUCAUUGUGAAGCAUAAUUCACCAAGUGUUGGAUCGUUCACCCACUAAUAGGGAAUGUAAGAUGGGUUUAGACCAUCGUUAGACAAUUUAGUUUUACCCUACUGAUGAUUGUGACACAAUUGUAAUUCAACCUAGUAUGAGAGAAACAAUUGAUUCAAAUAAUUGGGCAUCGCGCUUGGUUGAAAAGCCAAUGGCGUGAAGCUACUACGUGCUGGAUUAUGGCUGAAUGAAGUCAGAAUCUGGGCUAAGCGAUGCAUAUGCCUGCCAUUUACUUGACGAGCCGCAGUAGGGAUCUCGGCCCCCAAGGGCACAUGUCAUUGGCUAAGACAUCAUAGCGAAAGGGUCACGGUGGCCUCCUUGAAGUACAAUUUUAUCGAGUGGUGGCUAGAAUCCUUUGCAGAUAACUUAAAUAUGCGACAGGGUUUUCUAAGUGGUAGAAUGGCCUUGUGUAAGGACC
This 3031-nucleotide ribosomal RNA is filed under the name Capsicum annuum var. glabriusculum (American bird pepper). RNAcentral's name for it is "eukaryotic LSU rRNA". The stretch from base 411 to 3031 matches the Rfam family "Eukaryotic large subunit ribosomal RNA". Lineage: Eukaryota; Viridiplantae; Streptophyta; Magnoliopsida; Solanales; Solanaceae. The record is from RNAcentral.